Molecule: unclassified non-coding RNA, 161 nt
Filed under: uncultured Xylaria
Lineage: Eukaryota; Fungi; Ascomycota; Sordariomycetes; Xylariales; Xylariaceae
Description: sequence contains ITS2
Source: RNAcentral
CAACCCUCAAGCCCUGGUUGCUUGGUGUUGGGAGCCUGCCGUAAGACGCAGCUCCCCAAAGCUAGCUGGCAGAGCUAGGGUGUGCUCUAAGCGUAGUAGAUUUCUUCUCGCUCUGGAAGCCGCCCCGGCCCUCUCGCCAUUAAAGCCCCAAAUUUUUCUAU